Molecule: transfer RNA, 75 nt
Filed under: bacterium
Lineage: Bacteria
Also listed under: 2 other names
Description: tRNA-Thr
Rfam family: tRNA
About the family: Transfer RNA (tRNA) molecules are approximately 80 nucleotides in length. Their secondary structure includes four short double-helical elements and three loops (D, anti-codon, and T loops). Further hydrogen bonds mediate the characteristic L-shaped molecular structure. tRNAs have two regions of fundamental functional importance: the anti-codon, which is responsible for specific mRNA codon recognition, and the 3' end, to which the tRNAs corresponding amino acid is attached (by aminoacyl-tRNA synthetases). tRNAs cope with the degeneracy of the genetic code in two manners: having more than one tRNA (with a specific anti-codon) for a particular amino acid; and 'wobble' base-pairing, i.e. permitting non-standard base-pairing at the 3rd anti-codon position.
Source: RNAcentral
GCCGACGUAGCUCAGCGGUAGAGCAACUGAUUCGUAAUCAGUAGGUCCGGGGUUCAAUCCCCCGCGUCGGCUCCA